UAGAGAUGGCGUCCCAAGGAGGAGG
This 25-nucleotide non-coding RNA is filed under the name Mus musculus (house mouse). Lineage: Eukaryota; Metazoa; Chordata; Mammalia; Rodentia; Muridae. The record is from RNAcentral.